Molecule: long non-coding RNA, 1556 nt
Organism: Homo sapiens (human)
Lineage: Eukaryota; Metazoa; Chordata; Mammalia; Primates; Hominidae
Source: Ensembl
GACUUUGUCCACUCCAGGUAUCCUAACAUCUUAACAGUCUCUUUGCUGGAAAGAAAUCUUCAGUGGCUCCCAUUACCUACGGAUCCAGCCUGGCUUUUUAGUCCAGCAUUCAAGACCUGUCAAGCUCUUCUGCAUCCUCUCGUAUGCAUGUGAUAGACAGGCACUCCACCUAGCGAAGUACAACCAUCCCAAACUUAUUCCUAUUACUUUUCUUCCAUUCAUUCGUUCAUACAAUCAAUCAGUCAUCAUUGAGGAUUUAUUAGACGAUAGGUUCUGGAGACAAAAAGGUAGAUAAAUACGACGCAGUCUUUGCUUUUGAGGACUGUAUCCCAGAUACAUCUGACUGGUUGUUCCUGCUGAAACAUUUUUCCACCUCCAUGCUUUUGCAUACACUACUUUCUCCACCUGGAAGACCCUCUCUGCAUUUCUGAACAUGCACUUUUAUUAACUGUCCACAGCUGCAGUGAGGCCUUCUUCAUGAAGCCUCUCCCAGUUCUCCGCCUCACCCCACCAAGCUGGAACUGAUCGCAGCCUCCAAACUCCCACAGCAAUCCUUUGCCUCCUCUUCUGACGCUACUCUUUCUCUCUUGGAUGAAAGCCGUGUGUAUCCAUGUUGGUUCUCCACUUCUAGAACCUGUCGUUUUGGGGCUGCAGGACUUGGUGGAUUCACACUGGCAUCCCCUCAGGAAGCAGGAAUCAUGUUUACAAAGCAUUCCCUUGGCAAGAGGCUGUCUAUAGGAUCCAGAUGGUCUGACCCCAAGUCAGAUGUCCUUUAUAACCUUGCUUUUAUGGUCCUCUGACCAGCAGCAUUAACAUCACCCUCACCUGGGAGCUCAUUAGGAAUGCAGAAUCUCGGGCCUCAUCCCUGAUCCACUGAAUUGGAAUCUGCAUCUUAACAAGAUCCUCAGGCAAUCUGUAAGCAUAUGCAUGGUUGAGAAGCACUGCUGUACAACACUUUGUAACAAUCUCUCUUGUCCAAGAGCGGGGACGAAGCUAGCUGUGAAAGCUAACACAGGUCUCAGGUGUUCUUCUUCCUGCAAGUGAGGGUUGGACAGCCCAAGCCAUGCUUCGCCUGGGCCCUGAGGAGGCCUCACCCCCCACUCCCCAUGGCAGCAACAUUCUCCUUGAGCCUUCCUUGGUGGUCCGAUGUCAGCAUCUUGCCAAUCCAGGCGAAGGCAUCAUGCCACACUGACAGAUGGCCCAAAGUAGGACAGACAGAAGAAAUGUAUGUUUAUCAAAUUUGGGUUGAAAAGACCACGUUCCCCCAGCAUAGGCUGUCAAACAGCUGUCAUUCAGGAGCAUAUGGCCCAGCGGUGAGAGGGCACAGACACAGCUAAUCCCACUCUUAGAGAGAUUAGCUCUGACGAGUGAAGAAAGUUGCGGCUGUCGCCAGGGUGCUGCCUGGGAGGAGAGGGUGGAGGGUCUGCAUUGUGGUUCAUUUCCCGAAUCACCUUCCCUGUGAUCGAGGCUCCUGUCUGCCAAAAAGAAGCCAGAAUGAAAUGAUGCUGUAGAAAUAACUAUGACAGUAAUAAUAAUAAAUCUACCAUUUAUCAACC